Mycena maculata is the source of this 103-nucleotide non-coding RNA. The record is from the annotation of a GenBank genome assembly. NCBI's taxonomy places the organism in Eukaryota, Fungi, Basidiomycota, Agaricomycetes, Agaricales, Mycenaceae.
GCCCGUUUAGCUCAGUGGUAGUAGCGCGUCACUCGUAAUCUUGAUUACUUUGUCUUAUUCCGAGGCCAUGAUGAGGUCAGCCGUUCGAUCCGGCUAACGGGCA